This 563-nucleotide unclassified non-coding RNA is filed under the name Hevea brasiliensis (rubber tree). The record is from RNAcentral. Lineage: Eukaryota; Viridiplantae; Streptophyta; Magnoliopsida; Malpighiales; Euphorbiaceae.
GAUAUCUUUUAUUGUUCUCUAUGCUUAUCUUGUGUUCUAACUUUUUUUCUUUCAUUAAUUCAAAAAAACUAUUUUUGUCAUUUAAUUUGCAUUCUCAAUUUUUUUUAUGGUUGCUUUCAAUAUUUGAGUUUGUUUGAUGAGUUAUUGUGAUCCUAUUUAUGUAUCUGAACCUAAAACUAACCCUCACCGUAGCUACAAAAAGUUCACUAAAUUCACUAAGCCAAAAGUCUAUUAAUUCAACACAAAGCCAAGCAGUGCAGGGACUUGUGAACUUGAUGAGCAAGCAAUCAUACAAUUCAGGGUUUUUGCUUAUAACUUUUGUUUUGUUUGUACUUUCAUUAUUCUAUGAUUUUGUUUUAUUAUUAUGAUUUUUUUUAAUGUAACCUAUAUAUUAUUGAAUAAUUACUAAUAUUCAACUUUUGAUUCAUAAAAUAAAAUCCCAACUUUGGUUACUAUAUCUUGGAGUCCUAUUUUUCACUGAAAUAUAAUUAUUGAAUUGAUUAAAUUUUUUUCUUUUUUACUUAAAUAUUUAUAAAUAAUGAAUCAAAGAAAUAAAGAAUAAA